Non-coding RNA from Sesamum indicum (sesame), 928 nucleotides. NCBI's taxonomy places the organism in Eukaryota, Viridiplantae, Streptophyta, Magnoliopsida, Lamiales, Pedaliaceae. The record is from RefSeq and is a predicted model, not a curated record.
AAUUGAGAAUUGCUUAUUCACUAUGGAGUAGUGAGAACUCUUUUUCUCUCUCACUCUCUCUGUCGCGCGAAGUGAAGAAAAAAUUGCAGAACUCCAUAACUCUAGCUUCACGUCCACGAAUCGAUCGGCACACAGCACACAGCACACCUUCCCUCCGAAUCCACCAUUAACAGUUCAAGGUGAAGGGAAGUGUUUGAGGAGAAGGGGCAUAAAAGAUGAUAGCUUACUUGCCUUGUUUGUCAGAGGCUAGAAAAAAGAUUAGGUGAAGCCUAGGAACCAAAUUCUAGAUUUAAGUUCCAGGCGUACCUUAGCGAGAUUUUAUGGACCAUGGACAUGUGUUUACUUUUUGUCUACAUUAACAAUAAUUCAUCACAUUAUAUGUGUACCAUGCGUGUACCCAAAAAAAGGUAAAGACUAUUAAAUGUCGACAUUUCCGUUAAAUUAUAUAUGCACCAGCUUAUUAUUAAGAGGUCUUUCAUUCAAAGCAAGUGAAUCUUGUAAAACCCAGUUCUCAUAAUUCUCAACACCUCUUGCCCUUACAGCAAUUACAAUUUUGUUGAAUUAUAUUUCUGUAACAUACGUCUAAUUAUUCAUUCAUGCUCUUGAUGCGGUAGCAUACUCGCUGAUGUCAGGUCAUUGAUAUUCUCCGUGUAAUGGAAGCCAAGUUCUUUCGCUUUCUUAAGAUUGUUGGAGUUGGUUUCAAAGCAAGAGCAGAAGCAGAAGGCCGUCUCUUGUACCUGAAACUUGGUUACAGCCAUGAGGUUGAACUGACUGUGCCUCCAGCAGUUCGUGUAUUUUGCUUCAAGAACAACAUUGUAUGCUGCACUGGGAUUGACAAGGGCAGGGUGCAUCAAUUUGCUGCCGCUGUUCGGAGUUGUAAACCUCCCGAAGUUUACAAAGGCAAAGGCAUAAUGUACAUUGAUGAAGU